RNAcentral lists this ribosomal RNA (120 nucleotides) under uncultured bacterium. Its description in RNAcentral is "partial 16S ribosomal RNA". It matches the Rfam family "Bacterial small subunit ribosomal RNA", at positions 796 to 914 of the family's 1533-position model. The record is from RNAcentral.
CACGCCGUAAACGAUGGAUACUAGGUGUAGGAGGUAUCGACCCCUUCCGUGCCGGAGUUAACGCAAUAAGUACCCCGCCUGGGGAGUACGGCCGCAAGGUUGAAACUCAAAGGAAUUGAC